This 433-nucleotide ribosomal RNA is filed under the name uncultured bacterium. Its description in RNAcentral is "partial 16S ribosomal RNA". It matches the Rfam family "Bacterial small subunit ribosomal RNA", at positions 29 to 507 of the family's 1533-position model. The record is from RNAcentral.
AGCGAACGCUGGCGGCAGGCCUAACACAUGCAAGUCGAACGGAUCCUUCGGGAUUAGUGGCGGACGGGUGAGUAACACGUGGGAACGUGCCCUUUGGUUCGGAACCACUCAGGGAAACUUGAGCUAAUACCGGAUGUGCCCUUCGGGGGAAAGAUUUAUCGCCAUUGGAGCGGCCCGCGUCUGAUUAGCUAGUUGGUGAGGUAACGGCCCACCAAGGCGACGAUCAGUAGCUGGUCUGAGAGGAUGAUCAGCCACACUGGGACUGAGACACGGCCCAGACUCCUACGGGAGGCAGCAGUGGGGAAUCUUGCGCAAUGGGCGAAAGCCUGACGCAGCCAUGCCGCGUGAAUGAUGAAGGUCUUAGGAUUGUAAAAUUCUUUCAGCGGGGACGAUAAUGACGGUACCCGCAGAAGAAGCGCCGGCUAACUUCGUG